This 45-nucleotide non-coding RNA is filed under the name Schistosoma mansoni. Lineage: Eukaryota; Metazoa; Platyhelminthes; Trematoda; Strigeidida; Schistosomatidae. The record is from RNAcentral.
AUCCAACCGACGCGUCCAAAAUAGGACGAAACCCUCUUCCUGGAA